Molecule: transfer RNA, 77 nt
Filed under: Planctomycetota bacterium
Lineage: Bacteria; Pseudomonadati; Planctomycetota
Description: tRNA-Pro
Rfam family: tRNA
About the family: Transfer RNA (tRNA) molecules are approximately 80 nucleotides in length. Their secondary structure includes four short double-helical elements and three loops (D, anti-codon, and T loops).
Source: RNAcentral
CGGGGCGUAGCUCAGCCUGGUAGAGCGCUUGUCUCGGGUGCAAGAGGCCGCAGGUUCAAAUCCUGUCGCCCCGACCA